GUGCCUACUGUAACCCACGAAUAGGUAAGACAAACCUAUAGUAUAGAACUUAUAAUAAUGGACUACCCAUAAGAAUGUUGAAUAGAUGUAAUAAAAGACUAACAUACUUAAGAUAAUCCAAAAACCUAGUGGAAUCAGUAAAAGAUCCACGAACCUAAAAAUGAUACAAAUGAGGUACUAGAUACAAUAUACAGAUACAACCAUCUGAGAAUAUAACAUCGAG
This 223-nucleotide long non-coding RNA is filed under the name Capsicum annuum. Its description in RNAcentral is "long non-coding RNA (CANN_LNC010001)". The record is from RNAcentral. Lineage: Eukaryota; Viridiplantae; Streptophyta; Magnoliopsida; Solanales; Solanaceae.